UUUUUUAACUCGCUGUUGUGGCCUCAUUUUUCGAAGUACAGACAUGAAAAACACAUCAUUGUGUUCAUGAAGGACGGGGGAUUCGUACGAUGUUCUUAUUUUCAUUCUGGGACUUAAGGAAAUCACGCUAUGUGAAGAAGUUUAGAGCCUCUAAAUCCUCAGCAGUUCAGCUGCUUCUCAUUCAAACAGUAGGUCAGUGAUUUGCCUUUGAUCUCACAGCUGUUUAGGAUGCAGUCAUUAACGAGACACACACACACACACACACACACACACACACACACACACACAUUCUUGUACUUGUUGCAUUGUCAGGUCUACCUUGCAGUUCAGCUGCUUGUACACACAGUUAAUAUGUGUCUGCUUCGCCACCUAUCUCCACCCACAAACUUUGAGCUACAGAAACCAUUCUGGGCUUCUAAAAUUCAGCUCAUUGAAGAUAUUAUGGGGUGUUUUGAGGAUUGUGAUAAUAAAUUGUAUUAAUGUGUUUAGCAGAGUCUUGUGUUCUCACAAGCUCCUUAUCAGGAAUAGAUACAGAGGAUGAGUGUCAGGGCCUACUUGGAGUCCUGUUUCCUUAGCUUCAAGCCUUCUUUCUCCUGCUAUAGUUAUGCAUCCAAGGUCCCCAUGGCAACCAAUUAGUGCACCUGGAGACACACAGCUGACUGGAAAGCUGCUUCUAAUGGCCAUAUGAGACACAUGAAGCCAGGCUCAGCACACAUAGCACUGGGGAUGACACUUAAAACCCUUUACUAGAGCGCUUGAAAAAACUUCAGCCCCUAUCUCCUCACAUGACCUUUGACCUACAGAAACCAUUCAGGGCUUUAAAAUUUGAGCUCAUUGAGGACAUUAGGGGGUGUAUUUAGGAUUUAUAUACAUUUAGAUUUUUCACAUUUUAAAGUCACUCAGUGAUGAUUUAUCAUUUAAUUUUUCAAACUAAUUUGAACUCAUUCAAACUGAUUCAAACCUUUCUAAUACUUAAAAAAUUAAACUUAUGCCACUUCCCACCUUCCUGCCUUUUAAGGCUAUUUCCUUCUUCAUUCAAACUUUUUGCAAUUUUAGACAUUUUUCUAGCCUCUUUCAGCAUGAAUAAAAUUUCCUUUUAUAGAGCAUAUUCAUACUAUUUGUCCUUCAACCAAUUAAUCAAUUAUCCAACUUACAUUUCUUUCACACCCCUUCAACAGCUUUAACAUUUAUACAUUUCUCCAUGUUUUAUUAGCAGUUUAGCAUUGCUUUUUCAGCUUUCAGCACUCAGCAUUUCCACGCAUUUUCUGCAAGGAAAUGCAAUUUUUCUAGUUAAGUGGAAAUGCUGAUAGGCAUUUCCACUUAUUGUUAUUCUCCCGUUUCUUUAUUAUUAUUAUUAUUAUUAUUAUUAUUAUUCUUCCGCCGUUUUUCGUCCGCUUUCAACUCCUUCCCAGUUUGUGCGAUUUCAACCGUUCAAACUUUAAACUAUUCCACUCCUUCAGGACACGUUUGCUAUUACUUUUCACUUUUCUAACAUUUAUACUUUUUGUUUUUUUUAACUUUUUGUGCAAAAAUUUUAACAUUGAAGUCAAUGGGGAAAUCUUCCAAUUCUUCCUUUUAUUCUUCCACUUUCUAGACCUUAUAACUUCAGCAUACUUUCACCUAGAGACCUCAUUUUUGCUUUAAAAUGUUCAUUCACUUGUCGACUAUUACAGUUGUACUCAGUUUUUUUGAUAUCUCUUACAGUUUUUCCACAAUUUAGCUUUAAGCAACUUGUGGUUUUCAGCAAAUUUCAAGCUUUAUAAUGGGUGUGUAUUGGAGAGUUUAGAGUGAUGAUGUCAUCAGCUAGAGUGCAGACCUCGUCUCUGAUCGACAGAACCUCGCUCGAAUAUAUCGCUCCCACGCCCACAAAUCUCACUCCACUGACACAAAUAAUACAUCAAAAUGGAGGUAUAUGUGUCCUGCUUCUCACAAAAGAGGUUUCAAAUCAUUAAAUCGUACCCCUUGGCCAGCAGGUGACCAACUGUCCAAAGAAGGCGGAAAUCUCUCCCAUUGACCGUAAUGUUAAUUUUCUCCAAGAAAAUCCGGAUCAUCGCUCAGGCUCAGACUUUUUUAACUCGCUGUUGUGGCCUCUUUUUUCGAAGUACAGACAUGAAAAAGACAUCAUUGUGUUCAUGAAGGGCGGAGGAUUCGUACGAUGUUCUUAUUUUCAUUCUGUGACUUAAGGAAAUCACGCUAUGUGAAGAAGUUUAGAGCCUCUAAAUCCUCUGCAGUUCAGCUGCUUCUCAUUCAAACAGUAGGUCAGUGAUUUGCCUUUGAUCUCACAGCUGUUUAGGAUGCAGUCAUUAACGAGACACACACACACACACACACACACACACACAUUCUUGUACUUGUUGCUUUAUGAGGUCUACCUUGCAGUUCAGCUGCUUGUACACACAGUUAAUAUGUGUCUGCUUCGCCACCUAUCUCCACCCACAAACUUUGAGCUACAGAAACCAUUCUGGGCUUCUAAAAUUCAGCUCAUUGAAGAUAUUAUGGGGUGUUUUGAGGAUUGUGAUAAUAAAUUGUAUUAAUGUGUUUAGCAGAGUCUUGUGUUCUCACAAGCUCCUUAUCAGGAAUAGAUACAGAGGAUGAGCGUCAGGGCCUACUUGGAGUCCUGUUUCCUUAGCUUCAAGCCUUCUUUCUCCUGCUAUAGUUAUGCAUCCAAGGUCCCCAUGGCAACCAAUUAGUGCACCUGGAGACACACAGCUGACUGGAAAGCUGCUUCUAAUGGCCAUAUGAGACACAUGAAGCCAGGCUCAGCACACAUAGCACUGGGGAUGACACUUAAAACCCUUUACUACAGUGCUUGAAAAAACUUCAGCCCCUAUCUCCUCACAUGACCUUUGACCUACAGAAACCAUUCAGGGCUUUAAAAUUUGAGCUCAUUGAGGACAUUAUGGGGUGUAUUUAGGAUUUAUAUACAUUUAGAUUUUUCACAUUUUAAAGUCACUCAGUGAUGAUUUAUCAUUUAAUUUUUCAAACUAAUUUGAACUGAUUCAAACUGAUUCAAACCUUUCUAAUACUUAAAAAAUUAAACUUAUGCCACUUCCCACCUUCCUGCCUCUUAAGGCAAUUUCCUUCUUCAUUCAAACUUUGUGCAAUUUUAGACAUUUUUCUAGCCUCUUUCAGCAUGAAUAAAAUUUCUUUUUAUAGAGCAUAUUCAUACUAUUUGUCCUUCAACCAAUUAAUCAAUUAUCCAACUUACAUUUCUUUCACACCCCUUCAACAGCUUUAACAUUUAUACAUUUCUCCAUGUUUUAUUAGCAGUUUAGCAUUGCUUUUUCAGCUUUCAGCACUCAGCAUUUCCACGCAUUUUCUGCAAGGAAAUGCAAUUUUUCUAGUAUUAUACUUAACACUCUCCCCAUACGUUUCUUUGGACCGCUUCUCCUCCUUCAAACUUUGUCCGAUUUCAACCGUUCAAACUUUAAACGAUUCCACUCCUUUAGGACAUGAUGGCUAUUACUUUUCUCUUUUCUACCCUUUAUACUUUUUAUUAUUUUUCACUUUUUGUGCCAAACUUUUUUUCCCAUAGAAAUGAAUGGGGAAAUCUUUCAAUUCUUCCUGUUAUUCGUCCACCUUCUAAGCCUUAUAACUUCAGCAUACUUUCACCUAGAGACCUCAUUUUUGCUUUAAAAUGUUCAUUGUCUUGUCGACUAUUGAUAUUGUAUUAACCUUUUUGUGCUUUCUUUUACAGUUUUUCCACAAUUUAGCUUGAAGCAACUUGUGGUUUUCAGCAAAUUUCAGGCUUUAUAAUAGGGGUGUAUUGGAGAGUUUAGAGUGAUGAUUUGAAAAGCUAGAGUGCAGACCUCGUCUCUGAUCGACAGAACCUCGCUCGAAUAUAUCGCUCCCACGCCCACAACACUCACUCCACAGCCAUAAAUAAUACAUCAAAAUGGAGGUAUAUGUGUCCUGCUUCUCACAAAAGAGGUUUCAAAUCAUUAAAUCGUACCCCUUGGCCAGCAGGUGACCAACUGUCCAAGGAAGGCGGAAAUCUCUCCCAUUGACCGUAAUGUUAUUUUUCUCCAAGAAAAUCCGGAUCAUCGCUCAGGCUCAGACUUUUUUAACUCGCUGUUGUGGCCUCAUUUUUCGAAGUACAUACAUGAAAAACACAUCAUUGUGUUCAUGAAGGACGGACGAUUCGUACGAUGUUCUUAUUUUCAUUCUGGGACUUAAGGAAAUCACGCUAUGUGAAGAAGUUCACAGGCUGAAAUUCACAGCAGUUCAGCACCUCUCAGUCAAACAGUAGGUUAGUGAUUUGCCUUUGAUCUCACAGCUGUUUAGGAUGCAGUCAUUAACGAGACACACACACACACACGCACACACAUUCUUGUACUUGUUGCUUUUUGAGGUCCACCUUGCAGUUCAGCUGCUUGUACACACAGUUAAUAUGUGUCUGCUUCACCACCUAUCUCCACCCACAAACUUUGAGCUACAGAAACCAUUCUGGGCUUCAAAAAUUCAGCUCAUUGAAGAUAUUAUGGGGUGUUUUCAGGAUUGUGAUAAUAAAUUGUAUUAAUGUGUUCAGCAGAGUCUUGUGUUCUCACAAGCUCCUUAUGAAUAUAUACAGAGGGUGAGCGUCAGGGCCUACUUGGAGUCCUGUUUCUUUAGCUUCAAGCCUUCUUUCUCCUGCUAUAGUUAUGCAUCCAAGGUCCCCAUGGCAACCAAUUUGUGCACCUGGAGACACACAGCUGACUGGAAAGCUGCUUCUAGUGGCCAUAUGAGACACAUGAAGCCAGGCUCAGUACACAUAGCAAUUGGGAUGACACUUAAAACCCUUUCCUAGAGCGUUGGAAAAAACUUCAGCCCCUAUCUCCUCACAUGACCUUUGACCUACAGAAACCAUUCAGGGCUUUGAAAUUUAAGCUCAUUGAGGACAUUAUUGGGUGUAUUUAGAAUUGUUAUUCAUUUAAAUUUUUCACAUUUUAAAGUCACUCAGUGAUGAUUUAUCAUUUAAUUUUUCAAACUAAUUUAAACUCAUUCAAACUGAUUCAAACCUUUCUAAUACUUCAAAACUUUCUGAUACUUGAGGACUUUUGAUAAUUUAAAAUUUCCCUGUUUUAAAUUAGUUUUAAUAUUUAUGCAUUACUCCAUCAUUCAAACAAAAUCCUACCUCAAGUACGACAACUACUGCUAAUGUCAAUUAAACUAGAACUUUCCCCUCUACUUCAACUGCUAUUGCUCCUAUUUCUACUUUCUUUACUACUUUGACUUAUACUUCUUUUAUUCUCAAUCUACUUCUACUGCUGACAUGACUACUAGUAUCACGACUUGACUUCUUAUCAUACUACUUCUAGUACUACAAUUUAAACUUAUGCCACUUCUCACCUUCCUGCCUUUUAAGGCAAUUUCCUUCUUCAUUCAAACUUUGUGCAAUUUUCGACAUUUUUCUAGCCUCUUUCAGCAUGAAUAAAAUUUCCUUUUAUAGAGCAUAUUCAUACUAUUUGUCCUUCAACCAAUUAAGUAGUUAUCCAACUUAUUUUUCUUUUUCAUUCCUUCAACAGCUUUAACAUUUAUACCUUUCUCCAUGUUUUAUUAGCAGUUUAGCAUUGCUUUUUCAGCUUUCAGCACUCAGCAUUUCCACGCAUUUUCUGCAAGGAAAUGCAAUUUUUCUAGUUAUUAUUAUUAUUAUUAUUAUUAUUAUUCUUCCGCCGUUUUUCGUCCGCUUUCAACUCCUUCCCAGUUUGUGCGAUUUCAACCGUUCAAACUUUAAACUAUUCCACUCCUUCAGGACACGUUUGCUAUUACUUUUCACUUUUCUAACAUUUAUACUUUUUGUUUUUUUUUACUUUUUGUGCAAAAAUUUUAACAUUGAAGUCAAUGGGGAAAUCUUCCAAUUCUUCCUUUUAUUCUUCCACCUUCUAGACCUUAUAACUUCAGCAUACUUUCACCUAGAGACCUCAUUUUUGCUUUAAAAUGUUCAUAUACUUGUCGACUAUUAUAGUUGUACUCAGUUUUUUGAUAUCUCUUACAGUUUUUCCACAAUUUAGCUUUAAGCAACUUGUGGUUUUCAGCAAAUUUCAAGCUUUAUAAUGGGUGUGUAUUGGAGAGUUUAGAGUGAUGAUGUCAUCAGCUAGAGUGCAGACCUCGUCUCUGAUCGACAGAACCUCGCUCGAAUAUAUCGCUCCCACGCCCACAAAUCUCACUCCACUGACACAAAUAAUACAUCAAAAUGGAGGUAUAUGUGUCCUGCUUCUCACAAAAGAGGUUUCAAAUCAUUAAAUCCUACCCCUUGGCCAGCAGGUGACCAACUGUCCAAAAAAGGCGGAAAUCUCUCCCAUUGACCAUAAUGUUAUUUUUCUCCAAGAAAAUCCGGAUCAUCGCUCAGGCUCAGACUUUUUUAACUCGCUGUUGUGGCCUCAUUUUUCGAAGUACAGACAUGAAAAAGACAUCAUUGUGUUCAUGAAGGGCGGAGGAUUCGUACAAUGUUCUUAUUUUCAUUCUGUGACUUAAGGAAAACACGCUAUGUGAAGAAGUUUAGAGCCUCUAAAUCCUCUGCAGUUCAGCUGCUUCUCAUUCAAACAGUAGGUCAGUGAUUUGCCUUUGAUCUCACAGCUGUUUAGGAUGCAGUCAUUAACGAGACACACACACACACACACAUUCUUGUACUUGUUGCUUUAUGAGGUCUACCUUGCAGUUCAGCUGCUUGUACACACAGUUAAUAUGUGUCUGCUUCGCCACCUAUCUCCACCCACAAACUUAGAGCUACAGAAACCAUUCUGGGCUUCUAAAAUUCAGCUCAUUGAAGAUAUUAUGGGGUGUUUUGAGGAUUGUGAUAAUAAAUUGUAUUAAUGUGUUUAGCAGAGUCUUGUGUUCUCACAAGCUCCUUAUCAGGAAUAGAUACAGAGGAUGAGCGUCAGGGCCUACUUGGAGUCCUGUUUCCUUAGCUUCAAGCCUUCUUUCUCCUGCUAUAGUUAUGCAUCCAAGGUCCCCAUGGCAACCAAUUAGUGCACCUGGAGACACACAGCUGACUGGAAAGCUGCUUCUAAUGGCCAUAUGAGACACAUGAAGCCAGGCUCAGCACACAUAGCACUGGGGAUGACACUUAAAACCCUUUACUAGAGCGCUUGAAAAAACUUCAGCCCCUAUCUCCUCACAUGACCUUUGACCUACAGAAACCAUUCAGGGCUUUAAAAUUUGAGCUCAUUGAGGACAUUAGGGGGUGUAUUUAGGAUUUAUAUACAUUUAGAUUUUUCACAUUUUAAAGUCACUCAGUGAUGAUUUAUCAUUUAAUUUUUCAAACUAAUUUGAACUGAUUCAAACUGAUUCAAACCUUUCUAAUACUUAAAAAAUUAAACUUAUGCCACUUCUCACCUUCCUGCCUUUUAAGGCAAUUUCCUUCUUCAUUCAAACUUUGUGCAAUUUUCGACAUUUUUCUAGCCUCUUUCAGCAUGAAUAAAAUUUCCUUUUAUAGAGCAUAUUCAUACUAUUUGUCCUUCAACCAAUUAAUCAAUUAUCCAACUUAUAUUUCUGUUCACCCCUUCAACAGCUUUAACAUUUAUACCUUUCUCCAUGUUUUAUUAGCAGUUUAGCAUUGCUUUUUCAGCUUUCAGCACUCAGCAUUUCCACGCAUUUUCUGCAAGGAAAUGCAAUUUUUCUAGUUAAGUGGAAAUGCUGAUUAAGCAUUUCCACUUAUUGUUAUUCUCCUGUUUCUUUAUUAAACUUAUUAAGUGGAAAUGCUGAUUAAGCAUUUCCACUUAUUGUUAUUCUCCUGUUUCUUUAUUAAACUUAUUAUUAUUCUUCCGUCCCUUUUUUGCAACGCUUCUCCUCCUUCAAACUUUGUCCGAUUUCAACCAUUCAAACUUUAAACUAUUCCACUCCUUCAGGACAUUAUGGCUAUUACUUUUUUCUUUUCUACCCCUUAUACUUUUUGAUAUUUUUGACUUUUUGUGCAAAAAAUUUUCCCAUUAAAAUGAAUGGGGAAAUCUUCAAAUUCUACCUUUUACUCCUCCACCUUCUCAGCCUUAUAACUUCAGCGUACUUUCACCUACAGACCUAAUUUUUGCUUUAAAAUGUUCACAAUCUUCUCCUCCAAAUAUGCUGUAUUGACUUUUUUGUGCUAUCUCCUACAGUUUUUCCACAAUUUAGCUUUAAGCAACUUGUGGUUUUCAGCAAAUUUCAAGCUUUAUAAUGGGUGUGUAUUGGAGAGUUUAGAGUGAUGAUGUCAUCAGCUAGAGUGCAGACCCCGUCUCUGAUCGACAGAACCUCGCUCGAAUAUAUCGCUCCCACGCCCACAAAUCUCACUCCACAGCCAUAAAUAAUACAUCAAAAUGGAGGUAUAUGUGUCCUGCUUCUCACAAAAGAGGUUUCAAAUCAUUAAAUCGUACCCCUUGGCCAGCAGGUGACCAACUGUCCAAGGAAGGCGGAAAUCUCUCCCAUUGACCAUAAUGUUAUUUUUCUCCAAGAAAAUCCGGAUCAUCGCUCAGGCUCAGACUUUUUUAACUCGCUGUUGUGGCCUCUUUUUUCGAAGUACAGACAUGAAAAAGACAUCAUUGUGUUCAUGAAGGGCGGAGGAUUCGUACGAUGUUCUUAUUUUCAUUCUGUGACUUAAGGAAAUCACGCUAUGUGAAGAAGUUUAGAGCCUCUAAAUCCUCUGCAGUUCAGCUGCUUCUCAUUCAAACAGUAGGUCAGUGAUUUGCCUUUGAUCUCACAGCUGUUUAGGAUGCAGUCAUUAAUGAGACAAACGCACACACACACACAUUCUUGUACUUGUUGCUUUGUCAGGUCUACCUUGCAGUUCACCUGCUUGUACACACAGUUAAUAUGUGUCUGCUUCGCCACCUAUCUCCACCCACAAACUUUGAGCUACAGAAACCAUUCUGGGCUUCAAAAAUUCAGCUCAUUGAAGAUAUUAUGGGGUGUUUUGAGGAUUGUGAUAAUAAAUUGUAUUAAUGUGUUCAGCAGAGUCUUGUGUUCUCACAAGCUCCUUAUGAAUAUAUACAGAGGGUGAGCGUCAGGGCCUACUUGGAGUCCUGUUUCUUUAGCUUCAAGCCUUCUUUCUCCUGCUAUAGUUAUGCAUCCAAGGUCCCCAUGGCAACCAAUUUGUGCACCUGGAGACACACAGCUGACUGGAAAGCUGCUUCUAGUGGCCAUAUGAGACACAUGAAGCCAGGCUCAGUACACAUAGCAAUUGGGAUGACACUUAAAACCCUUUCCUAGAGCGUUGGAAAAAACUUCAGCCCCUAUCUCCUCACAUGACCUUUGACCUACAGAAACCAUUCAGGGCUUUGAAAUUUAAGCUCAUUGAGGACAUUAUUGGGUGUAUUUAGGAUUGUUAUUCAUUUAAAUUUUUCACAUUUUAAAAGUCACUCAGUGAUGAUUUAUCAUUUAAUUUUUCAAACUAAUUUAAACUCAUUCAAACUGAUUCAAACCUUUCUAAUACUUCAAAACUUUCUGAUACUUGAGGACUUUUGAUAAUUUAAAUUUUCCCUGUUUUAAAUUAGUUUUAAUAUUUAUGCAUUACUCCAUCAUUCAAACAAAAUCCUACCUCAAGUACGACAACUACUGCUAAUGUCAAUUAAACUAGAACUUUCCCCUCUACUUCAACUGCUAUUGCUCCUAUUUCUACUUUCUUUACUACUUUGACUUAUACUUCUUUUAUUCUCAAUCUACUUCUACUGCUGACAUGACUACUAGUAUCACGACUUGACUUCUUAUCAUACUACUUCUAGUACUACAACUGAAUCUUAUGCCACUUCUCACCUUCCUGCCUUUUAAGGCAAUUUCCUUCUUCAUUCAAACUUUGUGCAAUUUUCGACAUUUUUCUAGCCUCUUUCAGCAUGAAUAAAAUUUCCUUUUAUAGAGCAUAUUCAUACUAUUUGUCCUUCAACCAAUUAAUCAAUUAUCCAACUUAUAUUUCUGUUCACCCCUUCAACAGCUUUAACAUUUAUACCUUUCUCCAUGUUUUAUUAGCAGUUUAGCAUUGCUUUUUCAGCUUUCAGCACUCAGCAUUUCCACGCAUUUUCUGCAAGGAAAUGCAAUUUUUCUAGUUAAGUGGAAAUGCUGAUUAAGCAUUUCCACUUAUUGUUAUUCUCCUGUUUCUUUAAUCUUAUUAUUAUUAUUCUUCCGCCGUUUUUUGUCACGCUUCUCCUCCUUCAAACUUUGUCCGAUUUCAACCAUUCAAACUUUAAACUAUUCCACUCCUUCAGGACAUGUGUGCUAUUACUUUUCACUUUUCUACCCUUUAUACUUUUUGAUUUUUUUAACUUUUUGUGCAAAAAUUUUAACAUUGAAGUCAAUGGGGAAAUCUUCCACUUCUUCCUUUUUUUCUUCCACCUUCUAGACCUUAUAACUUCAGCAUACUUUCACCUAGAGACCUCAUUUUUGCUUUAAAAUGUUCAUUCACUUGUCGACUAUUAUAGUUGUACUCAGUUUUUUGAUAUCUUUUACAGUUUUUCCACAAUUUAGCUUUAAGCAACUUGUGGUUUUCAGCAAAUUUCAAGCUUUAUAAUGGGUGUGUAUUGGAGAGUUUAGAGUGAUGAUGUCAUCAGCUAGAGUGCAGACCUCGUCUCUGAUCGACAGAACCUCGCUCGAAUAUAUCGCUCCCAUGCCCACAAAUCUCACUCCACUGACACAAAUAAUACAUCAAAAUGGAGGUAUAUGUGUCCUGCUUCUCACAAAAGAGGUUUCAAAUCAUUAAAUCGUACCCCUUGGCCAGCAGGUGACCAACUGUCCAAAAAAGGCGGAAAUCUCUCCCAUUGACUGUAAUGUUAUUUUUCUCCAAGAAAAUCCGGAUCAUCGCUCAAGCUCAGACUUUUUUAACUCGCUGUUGUGGCCUCAUUUUUCGAAGUACAGACAUGAAAAACACAUCAUUGUGUUCAUGAAGGACGGAGGAUUCGUACGAUGUUCUUAUUUUCAUUCUGGGACUUAAGGAAAUCACGCUAUGUGAAGAAGUUCACAGGCUGAAAUUCACUGCAGUUCAGCACCUCUCAGUCAAACAGUAGGUUAGUGAUUUGCCUUUGAUCUCACAGCUGUUUAGGAUGCAGUCAUUAACGACACACACACACACACGCACACACAUUCUUGUACUUGUUACUUUUUGAGGUCCACCUCGCAGUUCAGCUGCUUGUACACACAGUUAAUAUGUGUCUGCUUCACCACCUAUCUCCACCCACAAACUUUGAGCUACAGAAACCAUUCUGGGCUUCAAAAAUUCAGCUCAUUGAAGAUAUUAUGGGGUGUUUUGAGGAUUGUGAUAAUAAAUUGUAUUAAUGUGUUCAGCAGAGUCUUGUGUUCUCACAAGCUCCUUAUGAAUAUAUACAGAGGGUGAGCGUCAGGGCCUACUUGGAGUCCUGUUUCUUUAGCUUCAAGCCUUCUUUCUCCUGCUAUAGUUAUGCAUUCAAGGUCCCCAUGGCAACCAAUUUGUGCACCUGGAGACACACAGCUGACUGGAAAGCUGCUUCUAAUGGCCAUAUGAGACACAUGAAGCCAGGCUCAGUACACAUAGCACUGGGGAUGACACUUAAAACCCUUUCCUAGAGCGUUGGAAAAAACUUCAGCCCCUAUCUCCUCACAUGACCUUUGACCUACAGAAACCAUUCAGGGCUUUGAAAUUUAAGCUCAUUGAGGACAUUAUUGGGUGCAUUUAGGAUUGUUAUUCAUUUAAAUUUUUCACAUUUUAAAACUCAGUCAGUGAUGAUUUAUCAUUUAAUUUUUCAAACUAAUUUAAACUCAUUCAAACUGAUUCAAACCUUUCUAAUACUUCAAAACUUUCUGAUACUUGAGGACUUUUGAUAAUUUAAAAUUUCCCUGUUUUAAAUUAGUUUUAAUAUUUAUGCAUUACUCCAUCAUUCAAACAAAAUCCUACCUCAAGUACAACAACUACUGCUAAUGUAAAUUAAACUACAACUUUCCCCUCUACUUCAACUGCUAUUGCUCCUAUUUCUACUUUCUUUACUACUUUGACUUAUACUUCUUUUUUUCUCAAUCUACUUCUACUGCUGACAUGACUACUAGUAUCACGACUUGACUUCUUAUCAUACUACUUCUAGUACUACAAUUUAAACUUAUGCCACUUCUCACCUUCCUGCCUUUUAAGGCAAUUUCCUUCUUCAUUCAAACUUUGUGCAAUUUUAGACAUUUUUCUAGCCUCUUUCAGCAUGAAUAAAAUUUCCUUUUAUAGAGCAUAUUCAUACUAUUUGUCCUUCAACCAAUUAAUCAAUUAUCCAACUUAUAUUUCUGUUCACCCCUUCAACAGCUUUAACAUUUAUACCUUUCUCCAUGUUUUAUUAGCAGUUUAGCAUUGCUUUUUCAGCUUUCAGCACUCAGCAUUUCCACGCAUUUUCUGCAAGGAAAUGCAAUUUUUCUAGUUAUUAUUAUUCUUCCGUCCCUUUUUUGCAACGCUUCUCCUCCUUCAAACUUUGUCCGAUUUCAACCGUUCAAACUUUAAACUAUUCCACUCCUUCAGGACAUUAUGGCUAUUACUUUUCACUUUUCUACCCUUUAUACUUUUUGAUUUUUUUAACUUUUUGUGCAAAAAUUUUAACAUUGAAGUCAAUGGGGAAAUCUUCCACUUCUUCCUGUUAUUCGUCCACCUUCUAAGCCUUAUAACUUCAGCAUACUUUCACCUAGAGACCUCAUUUUUGCUUUAAAAUGUUCAUUGUCUUGUCGACUAUUGAUGUUGUGUUAACCUUUUUGUGCUAUCUUUUACAGUUUUUCCACAAUUUAGCUUUAAGCAACUUGUGGUUUUCAGCUAAUUUUCAGGCUUUAUAAUGGGUGUGUAUUGGAGAGUUUAGAGUGAGGAUUUGAAAAGCUAGAGUGCAGACCUCGUCUCUGAUCGACAGAACCUCGCUCGAAUAUAUCGCUCCCACGCCCACAAAUCUCACUCCACAGCCAUAAAAAAUACAUCAAAAUGGAGGUAUAUGUGUCCUGCUUCUCACAAAAGAGGUUUCAAAUCAUUAAAUCGUACCCCUUGGCCAGCAGGUGACCAACUGUCCAAAAAAGGCGGAAAUCUCUCCCAUUGACCAUAAUGUUAUUUUUCUCCAAGAAAAUCCUUAUCGUCACUCAGGCUCAGACUUUUUUAACUCGCUGUUGUGGCCAUAUUUUUUGGAGUACAGACAUGAAAAACACAUCAUUGUGUUCAUGAAGGGCGGAGGAUUCGUACGAUGUUCUUAUUUUCAUUCUGGGAUUUAAGGAAAUCGUGCUAUGUGAAGAAGUUCAGGGCCCUAAAUUCACUGCAGUUCAGCAGCUUCUCCAUUCAAACAAUAGGUCAGUGAUUUGCCUUUGAUCUCACAGCUGUUUAGGAUGCAAUCAUUAACGAGCUACACACACACUCAGCCAAUGUGUGUGCGUCAGCCUCCUUCUCUCUAUGAGACCUUCAAGUACACACAGUAAAUAUGUCCAUGCGUGAGUCUCUCUCUGUCUAUGAGACCUGAACACACUUUGACCAUGUGGCUGCUUCACCACCUAUCUUCUCUCACAAACUUCGAGAUACAGACACAUUUUGGGCUUCAGAAAUUCUGCUCAUUGAGGACAUUAUGGAGUCUACAGAGGAUUUCUAUUCAUUUAAAUUGUCCUUAAUUUAAAAUAACUCAUUAUUUGUGCAUUUUUCAAUUCUUCUAAUAAAUUUAAACUCACUCUUAUUCAAACCUCUCUGACUCUUCAAACCUUUCUAAUACUUUAGGAUUUUUUAUUAGUUAUAUUUUCCCCAUUUUAAAUCGUUUUUACUAUUCAUGCAUAUUUCAAUUCUUCAAACAAAAUCCCACUUCCACUUCUACAACUUCUACUUCAACUAGUCUUGCUACUAUUAGUACUAGAAAACAAUUAAAAUGAAUUGAUUGAACCACUGCCUUUCGGUCGUGUGAAGUAUGACAUGUCCGAGUGUCCCUGAACGCCUCAAACAUUUCUACCGUGACUCACUGGUGGCUCGCGCUAUCCUUCUCCGACCUCGACGAAGGUAAGUCAGAGCACAGGCGCUCUAACUUCUGAACACUUCAAACGGCGAUUUAACGUUUCAUAUGGCACUGGUUUUAGUUAUAAUCAAUGAAGAGUUCAUUCAUGAUUGAAGUGGUCGAUAUAUUGAGUUGAAAAAGCGUACGCUAACGCUGUUAGCGUCGAGUUAGCGCCGCUAGCGUCGAGCUAGCGCCGCUAGCGCCGCUAGCGUCGAGCUAGCGCCGUUAGCGCCGCUAGCGUCGAGCUAACGCUAAAGUCAACAUACCCUCAGCUGUGAGGCUGAAUCAUUAGCCAGCUGAGCACAAAAGAAAGUGAAUAUGUAAGCCGCUGCGGUACUAUAAAGUGGGCCAAAUGAUGUCCAGGCUGUGGAGUUUACUGACAAUGGGACUGACAAGAAUAGUCAUAUUGUCAAGUAUUAACUGACUAACUAGCUAACUAAUGACGCUAGCGGCAUUGCUACAGGUUCAGUUCAUUACUGUGACUUAGCCAUUGCUGGGGAACUGGUCUGGAGACGUCAGCUGUUCAGCUCCUGGUCACUUUUUAUCAGCCAUUGUGGAUGUAUUAAAAUAUAGGCUGCAUUUAGCAAGCAUCCAGGUACAGCACAAAUAUGAGUGGUUUUUUUUUUUAUGUGUCAGAAUGGACCUAGAUGGUCCUCUAUUAUUGAGGGUUUUAUUCAUGAUGGAGAUGAUAGAGAUAUUUACAUUGCAAAACAUAAAAUGAAUUCAGUAUUUAAUGUUUAACAAUAUGAAGUUCUAAUUAAUAAAUAUAUUCCAGUUGAAUUUCCCUUUAGGGAUCAAUAAAGUUCUUAUCUUAAUAUUGAGUUGAUGGAUGAAGAGUUAGCUGCCUUGAAGUUGGUGGACCUGCUCCUGGUCUGUCUCUGUCUUGUUGGCUGCUACUGAACUUCACCGUCUACUGUACCUAAUUUACCUUUGAUAACAAGCUGUUAAUUUGGAUAUUGGUGAUGUGCUAACACCACAGCAAAGAUACUUUAUCUGAGGUAUAUAUACUUUAAUACAGUAUGUAUUAUGUGUGACAUUUUCAGCUGCAGCUAACAGCCAGGUGAUCUGUUGGAGCUGUUUAGUUUUCAAUUAGCCGAACUACUGUAAUAAUGUUAGUUUUCUUUAUAGGCCUAUUGUUUUUAAUGUGCUAUCUGUCAGAAAACACUAAUGUAUUGUUUCUUGUCUCAAAUAGAAGAUACAUCCGCUCCAGUGCAUUUGUUGGUAAGUAUAAGUGUUUUGACCAAGACUGACAACAAACAAAAUAAAAAUAACCGGAUUAAUGAUUAGCUUAAUCCUGUUUAACAACAUGUCAUUCAAGAUAAUGUACAACAUAUGAUGCAUUUUUCAAAUACUGAGUUUAAAUUGAUAUGAAAUGUUGAUUUAUCUGUAACACUGUUGUAUAUGCUAUAUGAAAAUCAUAGAUGGGAUACAGUUUUUUCCUAGUAGACAACAGUGAGCUAACAAUAUUACUAUACUACUAAAUUCAUUUAUUUUAAACAUUUUAACUUGAUGGGAAAGUCUGAAUCUAAAUUUUGACAAUAAUUAAGUGGGAAAAUCAUUCAGAUAAUUACUAUUACUUUGAUAAUAAUCAUUACUUUGAAUGAAGUGAGCUGUGAGGGCGUCUCUUUUGAGUGUAAUAAAAAACUCUUUUCUUCCCUCUCCCCCUCCUCCUGCAUCAUCUUGUCCUCUGACCUGUGUGAAAUUCCCUACCAACUCUGAAGUGUAAGUUCACACUUGUAUAUACUUAUUAAGCAAUCAAUUAAAUGUUACAUUUUUCUCUGCAGUUUAUAAUGACAUUUCAGUGUUGCGUAUUUCACCUCAAUUACAUAAGAAAUUAAAAAGUAAAGCGGUCCUUCAUUGUGUUUGUGCAUUUCUCUCCAUUUUAACAAACAUUUUUACAAGCUAAGAGAGCAACUAAAUUUUAUUUUUUUGUCCCUCUGUCUUUUCCCUUCUCUGAACUCCUCAACGCUAUCUCUGCUGCGGGCCCUACUCACUGUUGGCGAUUCAGCUGUAAGUUCACAAAUAAAGUAACACUGACACUUUUUACAACACAUCAUGUAAAAACCUGACACUAUGUCCUUAUUUGACAAACUGCAGCACAUUCUCAUUGUAACACAAACCAUUUAAAAAAACACUUUAUUUAAACUAAAGCAGAACCAAAUAGAAAUAAUUUUGCAGGCUGAUUACAAUUGAAACGACAAUGCAGUGAGAUGUGCUGGUUUUGUACAACUAAACUAAAAAUCUCUUGUCUCUUUUUUUCCAUUUUCCUUCUUGCCAACUCUAUCCUGUCUCCAAGUGCAGACCGUUUUGUGGCGACUCGACGUAAGUUCACACAGGAAUGACAUUUUCAUGAAUAACGCAGGGUGCCUUUAUUCAAUACACCCCUCAUCAUGUCCAAACUUUUUUUUUUUCCCCUUUGAUAAUGUAAUAUUCACAGUUGGAAAUGAACAGGUUAAAUGUGAUAUACAAUACACUUAUUUGCAUUUUAUUUCCAAUCAUUGGAAAGCAAUUUGUUACUAUUAAAUUGUGGAGUUCAUCAUGAAAAUCCAAAUAAUUACUAAUUGAAUGUGAUUACCUCCUUUGUGCAGCUCUUUAUAUUAGAAAAAAAAUCUAAUUUAAUGUUCCUUAAUAUGGAAUAGACAAUCACUAUCUAUGCCGCCAUUGAUUUAUUUUAUUAUUCAUUUAAUCCUAUGUUUAGAAAUGUGUAUAUCCUUCUAAGGUACUUUGCAUGCUUCUGUUUACAGCUUACGGAGCUGCUUGGCCUCAUAACUUAUUACAUUGUAGGAAUACUUAAAACACGGUAAAGGAAAUAACAUUUUCCAAAACACAUCAUAUUUUAUCAGCAGAGUAAUCCAUUGUUGUUACUGCUUACCAGGACAUGGUUAUAAACAUUAUAGAGGGAACUUAAAAUAAAGAGUCUAAAAUGCGCAGGGAUAAUAGAAACUUUUGUAAAAUACUUUGAGGUCCUAAAUUUAAAUUUAUGGUUCUGUGGUUGGAUUCAAGUUGGACUCGCUGGAGGAUGUGGUGGAGAGAUGUACUGUUAGGAAGGUGGAGGCUAUUCAAAAGAAUUUGGCUCACCCACUUCACAACACCUUGGUGGACCGAAAGGCCUAUGGUGGUGGACGGCUCCUCUCUCUGCUGCAGGACAGAAAGACUCAUAAGAUCUUUUGUACCCACAGCCAUCAGACUCUACAAUUUAAAUAGUAGAUGACUUUUUGAGACAUGACAAGUGAGACUACAGACAAUUGAAUUUCCCUUAGGGGAUAAAUAAAGUUCUUUGUAUCUUAAAUACAUUUUCAGUUAUCUCUUAUGAACACUGUAUUUUUAGUCAUUAAUUUGAUUGAAGGGUUAUCGAACAAGACAAUGGUCACUUCCAGCUUUUGACUCAACUUGACUUUUGAUAGAUGUAUAGUUGAGGACAGCCACUUGGUGGAUUGAGUAAAAGUACAUUAUAAUCUCACUAGCUUUGGGUGGAUGUUGGAUCAUUUAAUUUUGUCUUUAAUAAAAAAAGAUUAAUGUUUUUUUCCAUUGUGUCUUACAGGUAUCCUGUCCAGUCUCCCCACUCUCCCCUAUCAUUUUGGUCCCUCUGACUUUCCUGUCUCCUCUACCACUCUUUCUGAUUGAAAAGCCACUCUGCCUUUCUAUCCCCCUUCUAUCCCACUCUGGCUACUAAUACAAUCCUUGAACAAAUCUUUGAUACCAUUGAAACAAAUCUUUGAGACCCUUUGCAAUAAAUCUUUGAGACCUUUUGCAACAAAUCAUUUGAGACCCUUUUGCAACAAAUCAUUUGAGACCCCUUUGCAACAAAUCAUUUGAGACCCCUUUGCAAUAAAUCUUUUUGAGACCUAUUUUAACAAGCCACCUUUUUUGAGAAACCUUUGUAAACAAUCAACCCUUUUUUUGAGAAACCGAACUUCUGAAAAGCUGUACAUUUAAUACAACCACUGUAUUGGAAAAAGCCCUAAUUUUGCAAAAGUCUCAUUGUUGUUCUAGGUUUUCCUUUCCUGUCUGUGGAUCCAGAGUUUCACCAGAAGAAGUGUCAUCAGCACCACCAUAUCUGCGUCCCUGAUUUUGAAAGAAAAAAUAAACACGUUUCAUAUAGAAUAUUUGACUUGCAUAUUAUUUCAAGCACAAAGUUCAAAGAUUUACAAAUAGUUGCUGAUUUGUGUUUUUUUCUGAAAACAUUUAUAUAGCCUUGCCUAGGAUUUCCUUAGAAAACAUUUGAUAAACUAUUGUGGUAUACACACAGUUAUAAAUUAGAUAUUUUGGAGACUAUAAGAGCUGUUAAAUAACCUCCUCUCUUUAAGAAAUAAAGCGUUUUGUCUGUACUGGUGCUUGUCAUUAACUUUAAAUUGUUGAAUAAACACAUUGUUGUGUAAGGACAGCUACAAUGCCGAGAAAGAGUAAGAGGUCACAGGUUGCAAGCCAGCGCUGGCAGAGGUUUCAUGACAUUGACCAUGUGAGUACUGGACAAGCAGAUGGUAUUCCUCAGAGCAGUGGAGAGGUAAAGAGGUCUGAAGUAUCUGAUGCUGUGAAACAGGGAGGUCAAAGUGCGUCAUGUCAACCACAGGUAUCUUAUGCAGACGUGCUUAAGAGGAGACGUGUAAGUGAGUCACCUGCAGCAGGUCCUUCUAACUCUCAUCAGGUGAACUACAUAGCCCAAACUGAAAAGCCAUGCUCAACCCAGGUAUCACAUGCAGACACUGUUAAGAAGGGAAACCACAGUAAUUAUCAGUCUGUAUCAGGCUCUUCUCGGGUAAGAAAUGUUAACGCUGUUAGUCAGUCAGGUGAACAAAGCGUCUGUGCGUCACGCAGCCAAGCGUCUCUGAAAUACGGCCAAUCCAGAAACCAGCAGUGCACCUGUAACUCACUGACAUUUCUAGCAUUCCUGUAUGAGAAUGAACACAUCACCAGAGCAGACCUGGACCGUGUUUUGGAUAAAGGUGAUGUGAUGUACAGAGAAGUCAGAAAAACUGUUCGUGAUCACAGCCAUCUGACAACCGAUGAGCUCCCUGACCUGGUUCCUGCACGCAGACACACGCAGAUAUUUGACAAGUUACAGCUGUCUAGAUACGGUACGUUUGGAGAUCCGGAUCCCGGAGCUGUUGAUACCUUUCUGGACCUCGUUUCAGGACUGAGCUGCUUAUUAACAGAUGUGCAGUAUGCUUUGCUGCUAAUGACUUCGUUGUGCAUUGCAGUUUUCAGAACCAGAGAUGGCAGGUACGGUUUCUUUGACCCACAUGCUCGGACAGCUAACGGUUUGCCUCUGCUUAAGGCCACACCUACUCCUGGAACCGCUGUCAUGGUAACAUUCAGACGACUCAGUGACAUGAUUCACAGGCUCAUCAGGUAUCACCAUAUAUUGGGCACAGCAGGGUCCUGUCGCUAUGAGCUCAAGCCAGUUGUGUUUUGUGAUGUGAACCCAAGUGAUGCUAUCCCAGCCACAGAAAGUCCGUCCACAAGUCCCUCUGUCAAAACCACCGUGAUAGAUGAUUACACAAGUGCUCCACAGAUGAACACUGAUGUCCAUGAAAACUCUGAACAUGACAUGGAAAUUGAACCAGAACCACUGAUCGACUUCAGCCAGUGUUCUGUCACAUUAACUGGUCCUGAAUUUCUCACUCCAGAGAUUAACACUACUGUAAGUGAUGACACAUCACAGAAAGCCUCAACUUUGAUGGAAACUCAAGCUCAUCAACCAGGUCAGAUCAACAAUACUUCUGUCACAUUAGAGGAAACUCAACAGACAAAAUCAAAUUUGACACAACCAUUGAUAACGAUCCCCGUUGCUAGUGACAAAGUUAUCCAUGACAUCUCCACUAAACUGUCAAAAUUAAGCAAACAGCAAAAAAUGAAAUUUAAGAGGAGACUAAUGAGAUCUGGAAAGACAUCUGAAAAGAAAGAGAAUCAAAAAAGGAGAGAAAGAGAAAAGUAUGCUAAGAAUGAAACAUACAAAGCAAAGAAAAAGUCUUAUUCAAGUGAGAAAUAUUCUGUCAAUCCUGAAAUACAAACAAAGAAAAGACAAAAGAUCACAACUAAAUACAGAGAAAGCACAGACUUCAGACUGAAACAAAAAGAAUAUAUCACCAAAAAAUACAAAGAAAAUGUUGAAUUUAAAGGCAGACAAAAAGAAUAUAUCACAAGGAAAUACAGAGAAAAUGUUGAUUUUAAAGGCAGACAAAAAGAAUAUAUCACAAGAAAAUACAGAGAAAAUGUUGAUUUUAAAGGAAGACAAAAGUUAUAUUUCAGGAAAAAAUACAGAGAAAAUGUUGAUUUUAAAGGCAGACGAAAAGAAUAUUUCAGGAAAAAAUACUCAGAGGAUGUUGAUUUCCGCCAAAGACAGAGAUCCUACUUCAAUCAUCGAUAUUCAAAUGAUGAAACAUUCCAUCACCGACACAGACAACUGAUGAGACAAAUAAUGCGAGACAGGUAUAAGACAAAUCUUGCAUACAGGACUAUGCAUAAAAUGAGGUGUGCAUUGAAAAUAUCAAAGAAAUACAAACAGAUAAGUAGACAAACAUGUGAGACUGACAGAGAGAGUGAAAACCCACUUAUUGAAAGUGCCAUAAAUGAUUUCCGAUCACACAUUAAAGCUGGUCCCACCCAUGUUUGCACAGUUUGCCACAAAGCCUCAUUUCCAAACCAGGUGCAAAAGUGCAAGAGGUCCAACUAUGUGAAAAAUCCAAUCAUGGUUUCAGCUUGUCUCAAAGGUCAGUACGUCCAUGAUUGUAACGAUGACUACAGAAAUCAGUGCACUGUCCCUGAUGAGAGAAAGACUGAGUGGAUUUGUCACACCUGCCAUGACCAUCUGAAAAAUGGAUCCAUGCCCAAACUUGCCAUAGCAAACAACUUGGAGCUUGCUGACAUACCACCUGAGCUGUGUGACCUCAACAUACUGGAGAGACAUCUAAUAGCAAAGUGCAUAACAUUUGCCAAAAUCAUUCCUCUUCCCAAAGGCAGACAGAGAGCUAUACAUGGUAAUGUUGUAUGUGUUCCCUCUGAAGUCCAGGAAACAAUUCAGGCUCUACCCAGAUUGAGAAAUGAGUCUCAGGUGAUGAGAGUAAAACUGAAGAGACGUUUGAGUUACAGAGGUCACCAUCUGUUUCAGACUGUUACCUGGUCCAAGCUAGUGCAGGCUCUGCAUAAACUGAAAGAGACACACCCCCAGUAUGAAGACAUCACUAUUAGAGAUGAGGAGGAGUUAUGUGACCCCACACUUCCUGAUGAUGGUGAUGAGGAUGAGGAUGAGGAUGAUGGUAAUGAUAUUACAAUGAAUGAUGACGACUAUGAUGAUGAGGAUUUGAUGGAAAUUGAUAGAAUUGAGGCUGCUGCCAUGUAUGAGGCUGAAACUAAUGUUGAAAAUGAGGAUGAGCACACAGAGCUGUGUGAUAAAAGUCAGACCCAGGACAAUGAUGAUCAGACACAACAACAGGAUGCAGACAUAUCUAAUGGUGGUGUUGUUUUGGAGUCGUGCCUUCAGCCACGGGAUGUUUCUGAGGAGAUAUUGUGUUUCAGUGAGUCUACAUACUCAGUAGCUCCAGCAGAGAGAAACAAUCCAGUCAGUUUUUUCAAAACACCCAAACUAGAGGCCAUGGCGUUUCCUGUUCAGUUUCCCACUGGUGAGAAUACACUGGAUGAAAACAGACCAAUGAAACUAUCACCCAGUAGUUAUUUUAAAGCAAGGCUCUUUGGUGUUGAUGAUCGCUUUGCCAAAGAUACCAACUACCUGUUCUUUGCACAGUUUGUGACUGAAAUACACUUGGCUACCUCCAGCAUGUCAAUACAGUUACGCAAAGGCAAACCUUUGACCAGAGACGGACGUAAAAUAACAUCCAGAAUGUUGAGAGACAAAUACGAAGUGGAGAGACUGGUGAGAAACAGAGAUGCUAUCAGAUUUAUGCAGCCGCUCAGAGGAACACCAGCCUACUGGGACAAAACUACAAAAGAUCUGUUUGCUAUGAUCAGACAGUUGGGCAGUCCUACUUUCUUUGUCACAUUUUCUGCAGCAGAAAUGCGUUGGCCUGAGGUGAUUAUUGCAAUAAAAUUACAACAAGGUGAGGAGGUGAAUUUUGAAGAGCUCGACUGGUCCACAAAGUGUGACAUUCUGAGAAGCAAUCCUGUGACAACGAUGCGCAUGUUUGAUAAGCGUGUUGAAGCACUGUACAGAGAUCUGAUCAUGUCUCCUGCACAACCCCUGGGCAAAGUUUUUGACUUCUUUUGGCGUCUCGAGUUUCAGCACAGAGGAAGUCCUCAUAUACAUGGUCUUUUGUGGGUAGAAGGUGCACCUGUGUUUGAGAGAGACUCUGACAAAACUGUGUGUGACUUUGUGUCCAAACACAUCUCUGCUCAGCUCCCUGACCCAAACAAACAGCCUGAACUGUACAAAAAGGUCAAAGAAGUGCAAAUACACAGUAAGAACCACUCAAAGACAUGUUUCAAAAGUGCAAGUUCUGGAUGCCGAUUUGGAUUCCCAAAACCACCCUCCAGACAGACAAUGAUAACAAGACCUGUGGGUGAUGAUGAGGAGUCAGAGAGACUUAAGAGAGCCAAAGAGAAACUUGCACCACUGAAUCAGCUGCUGAAUGAGACACAAACUGAAUCCAUGAGUUUUCAACAGCUCCUGUCUGUCUGUGACUUAACCGCUGAUGAGUAUGAGAAACACAUGAAUGUGAUGAGUCAGUCCAGCAACAUCAUUCUGAAGCGUGAGCCAAAAGACUGCUGGGUAAACACCUACAACCCUCACCUGCUCAAAGCUUGGGAUGCAAACAUUGACGUGCAGUUCAUUCUCAGCUACUACAGUCUGAUCCAUUACAUAUGUACGUACAUGUGUAAAAGUGAGAACUCUGUGAGCCAGUACCUGCAAACACUCAUUCAGAACUCCGACAGAGAAUGUGUCAAUGAAUGUGAUGAAAUGAAAGCGGUCAUGCAGGCGUAUUCCAAAAAGCGAGAAGUAUCAGCACAAGAAGCUGUUGCCCGAGUGACUUCACUGAACAUGAAAAAGAGUUCACGCAGUGUGGUUUUUGUCCCAACUGAUGACAACCCAGUGAAAAUGAGUCUGCCUGUGUCAAGCCUUGACAACACUACACCAGACAGCUUGAAUGUGUGGAUGACAUCCUUAACAGACAAGUACAAAUCCAGACCUGAAUCACCAGAGUUUGAAGAGAUGUGCAUGGCUGAUUUUGCGUCUACCUGCAGACUGGUGUAUGGACAACAGACCAAGGGCAAGAAAGUGGUACCUUUGCUGAAUGAACUAGGCUUCAUACAGAGACGAGAAAGUGACAACGCUGCUGUCAUCAGGUAUCGCCGCAUAUCCAAAGAGAAAUACCCUGAGCAGUUUUACGGCACAUUGCUUAGACUGUAUCUUCCAUACAGAUCAGACGAUGAGCUGAAAAGACCAUAUUUUCCCACGUAUGAGUCAUUCUAUGAGAGAGGUGUGGUUCAGCUGCCGUAUUCUGACCGACCCCUGAGUGUGAAACUCAUCGUGAAAAGAAACAGAGAGAGAUAUGAAAAAAACAGUGAGGAAAUUGACUCUGCUCUCGAGGACUUUGAACAGAACAGAGGUGUGGUCGAUGAAUGGUGUAAUUUGGCACCUGAAUCUGAACUGGUGAGGUUGGAGUGUAUCGAUGAACUGGACGCCAGACAGUGUGAAAAUGUCCAAGAGGAUGUACCAGAUUACAGCAGACAAGCAAAUGCUGCUACAGAGGCCAGAGUCAUGAGAGAGCCCCCUACAAUCGAUCCCACACGGUUACGACAAAUGUAUCAGAGUCUGAACCAGAAACAGGCAUGUGUGUUCUAUGCAGUGAGAGACUGGUGCAUAAAACGAGUCUGUGGACCACAACCAGAGCAGUUUUUCUACUACAUCAAUGGUGGUGCUGGCACUGGAAAGUCACAUCUCAUUAAAUGCAUUCAUUCAGAAGCAUCAAAGAUUCUGAGAACACUACCUAGACGUGCUGAGGAAGCUGACAUCUCAAACCCGACUGUGCUGUUGACUGCUUUCACUGGAACUGCAGCCUUUAACAUCUCUGGAACAACACUGCACUCUCUCCUCAAGCUGCCCAGAAGUUUGAAACCUCCUUUUCAAGGUCUUGGGAACCAACUUGAUGAAAUCAGGUGUGAGCUUUUAAACGCUGAAAUCAUCAUCAUUGAUGAAAUCUCCAUGGUGUCGAAGCCUCUGUUUGCCUAUGUGGAUAUGAGACUGAAACAGAUUAAAGGUAGCCACAGACCCUUUGGAGGAAUGUCAGUCAUUGCUGUGGGAGACUUUUACCAGCUACCACCUGUGCGACAGUCCAAACCACUCUGUGUCUAUGAUCCAAGUGAGCUUGACCUCUGGAGAGACAACUUCCAGGUGAUCACUUUAGAUGAGAUCAUGCGACAGAAGGAUGACAAAACUUUUGCCGAGAUGCUGAACAGACUCCGUGUGAAAACAAGGUCAGAUGAGCUUUCUGAAGCUGACAGAGCUCUGCUGUCACAGCGUGUCACUGAACCACAACUGUGUCCCUCUGAUGUCCUGCACAUUUUUGCUACAAACAAACAAGUCGCAGCACACAACUCUGCUACAAUAUCUCUGCUCCAUUCUGAUAUCACCACCAUUGAUGCAGAUGACUUGAAAAAAGACCCACACACUGGACACAUGAAAAGACAAGGUGCACCAUGUCAUGGAAGCAGAAAUGAUCUACCUGACACCCUAGAUGUUGCAGUAGGUGCUAGAGUCAUGCUUACCAGAAACAUAGAUGUGUCUCAAGGAUUGGUGAACGGAUCAUUUGCUACAGUAGGCCGUCUCAUAAGCUCUGAAAACAACAGUUCUGCUCUUGUCACUAUGCUUGGUCUCAGGAUGGAUGAUGAAACAGCUGGCAGGAGCUAUCGUACUCGAGGAGACAAUCUUGUGUACAUCGAGAGAUCUGAGGAGGCUCUGCAACAGAAAGGAGUGGUACGCAGACAGUUUCCUGUGAAACUUGCCUUUGCAUGCACGAUACACAAGGUUCAAGGUAUGACCAGAAAAUCAACUGUUGUCUCUCUGAAG
Molecule: non-coding RNA, 24909 nt
Organism: Xyrichtys novacula (pearly razorfish)
Lineage: Eukaryota; Metazoa; Chordata; Actinopteri; Labriformes; Labridae
Source: the annotation of a GenBank genome assembly